UUCGGCCAACCUCGCCUACGGGCGGGCCUACAAGCCGAUCCUCGACGAGCUUGGCCUGACCUAUACGCAGUACAUUGCAGUCGUCGCCUUGUGGGAAGACGACAACCAGACCGUCAGCAGUCUCGGCGAGAAGCUGUUUCUGGAUGGAAUCCAACACGCUGACGCCGAUCCUGAAGAAUCUCGAAGCGAUGGGUUAUGUCCGCCGCCAGCGCGAUCCCAGGGACGAGCGCCAGGUCCUGAUCAGCCUGACCGAUGCCGGCCGCCGUCUGCGGGAGAAAGCCCUGCCGAUGAAUCUGGUGAAGGAAUCGGCGCUGGCACCCGACGAUUUCGCAAAACUGCAAAAGGCC
This 347-nucleotide unclassified non-coding RNA is filed under the name Hevea brasiliensis (rubber tree). Lineage: Eukaryota; Viridiplantae; Streptophyta; Magnoliopsida; Malpighiales; Euphorbiaceae. The record is from RNAcentral.